GGCCUCGGGCUGCCCCGAGGGGCUCCGGGAGUGCCGGGACCCCCGCGCUGGGGCUGGAGGAGCUGCUCAGGGAGCGCCGGGAGCUGCUCCGGGGGCCGCGACGAAUUCCAGGAAGAGCUGGAAUUCUGCGAGCGGCUGCUGCAGCUCUGCUUCGAGACCCCCCCCGAGGAAUCCACCAUGGACCGAUGACCCCAAAACCCCCCAAAAUUCCCCCAAAAAUGCCCCCAAAAACCCCCAAACGCUGCGAGCCCCCCGAGCCAGGGGGGAAUAAACGCUCCGGACCCGACCCUGGCUGAGAUUUGGGGGGAAAAAACGGCGCUGGAUGACGUCAAAAAGGAAAAAAUGGGGAAAAAAAAUCGAAAUUUUCUUCAAAUUCAGCACCGGCAGCGCGGACAGCGCGGGGGCGGGAUUAUGCUAAUUAAGGGGCGUUGUUAUGUUAAUGA
Agelaius phoeniceus (red-winged blackbird) is the source of this 443-nucleotide non-coding RNA. Lineage: Eukaryota; Metazoa; Chordata; Aves; Passeriformes; Icteridae. The record is from RefSeq and is a predicted model, not a curated record.